This 468-nucleotide ribosomal RNA is filed under the name uncultured bacterium. RNAcentral's name for it is "partial 16S ribosomal RNA". It matches the Rfam family "Bacterial small subunit ribosomal RNA", at positions 28 to 507 of the family's 1533-position model. The record is from RNAcentral.
GACGAACGCUGGCGGCGUGCUUAACACAUGCAAGUCGAACGGAAAGGCCAUGCUCUUGUGGGGUGCUCGAGUGGCGAACGGGUGAGUAACACGUGAGUAAACUGCCCUUGACAUUGGGAUAAAUUCAGGAAACUGGGGCUAAUAACGGAUAGGAGCUCCUGCUGCAUGGUGGGGGUUGGAAAGAUCCGGCGGUGGGGGAUGGACUAGCGGCUUAUCAGCUUGUUGGUGGGGUAGUGGCUUACAAAGGCUUUGACGGGUAGCCGGCCUGAGAGGGUGACCGGCCUCAUUAGGACUGCGAGACGGCCCAGACUCCUACGGUAGGCAGCAGUGGAGAAUAUUGCACAGUGGGCGGAAGCCUGAUACAGCGGCGCCGCGUGCGGGAUAACGGCCUUCGGGUUGUAAACCGCUUUCGCCUGUGACGUAGCGUUAUUGACGGUAAUGAGUAAAGAAGCACCGGCUAACUACGUG